This 392-nucleotide ribosomal RNA is filed under the name uncultured bacterium. RNAcentral's name for it is "partial 16S ribosomal RNA". It matches the Rfam family "Bacterial small subunit ribosomal RNA", at positions 523 to 918 of the family's 1533-position model. The record is from RNAcentral.
AUACGUAUGUCGCAAGCGUUAUCCGGAUUUAUUGGGCGUAAAGCGCGUCUAGGCGGCUUAGUAAGUCUGAUGUGAAAAUGCGGGGCUCAACCCCGUAUUGCGUUGGAAACUGCUAAACUAGAGUACUGGAGAGGUAGGCGGAACUACAAGUGUAGAGGGGAAAUUCGUAGAUAUUUGUAGGAAUGCCGAUGGGGAAGCCAGCCUACUGGACAGAUACUGACGCUAAAGCGCGAAAGCGUGGGUAGCAAACAGGAUUAGAUACCCUGGUAGUCCACGCCGUAAACGAUGAUUACUAGGUGUUGGGGGUCGAACCUCAGCGCCCAAGCUAACGCGAUAAGUAAUCCGCCUGGGGAGUACGUACGCAAGUAUGAAACUCAAAUGAAUUGACGGGG